UGCCCAAUCUGAUGGGGUGCAUCUCUAGAGGCCCAGCAGUAUGAGUGAAGAAGCCCUUGAGCCCUGCUGUAAGUUGGUCUCGUGAGUAAAGCCACAAUCGUCACUUCCGUGAAUUGACGGUCAUCACCGUAAGAGAAAAGAUGAAAGGAUCGAGAAGCUGAAACACUUAGGUUAGGAAAGCCAAAGUUGCAUGCAUAUGCUCGAUUCUUCAGGGUUCUCUUCCCUCAGAGAAGAUAUCCUAUUAGUUAUUGUACGCUCAAUUAAAGAGAGGAGAAUAUCUGGUGAUCUGAAUGAACCGCGAUGAAGACGGUGAUUUCGUUCCCUCCAAGUCUCAUAGAUGACUGCUUGCCAAGCAAUACGAGCCAAGAACUGGUGUUGGGUUGAGCCUGAGAUGGUGGAGAUGGCGUUAAGAGUAUCAUCCCAAGAAUGAGAAGGUAGAGAUAACUGGAGUUUAGACGAGAGAGGCACCCAUAUUGAGAAAGUGAAGCCGCAAUAGAAGAAGAUGUAGUUCCGAGAUUCCGGGUAGUUGUUGCAUAAAAGGCAAGAAGCAUCUGUAUGGAGACCCCACGACAGAAGACGAUCAAGAGUCGGACAGCUGUUAAGGACAAACAGCCAAGAGAGAAUUUUAUGUUUUGAGUUCCAAGUUGGGAGAUCGGUGAAGUCCGUUAAGGUGAUUGUCGACAUGUGAAUCUGGAUUUGUUCCAGUGCCACAGAACGAGCCGGGGCAAUUGUCCAGGAAGACCCAGUCCAAAUAGAUGCUAAGGUCGCAGAUAAGGGGAUACCAGAUAACCUUGGAGCAUUAGCACCAACGAACUUGAUAAGAGGACCAAAGGGAGACCAAGGGGAGUACCAGAAUCUGAUGGAGGAGCCAUCCCCUGGCUUAAUCUGUAACCAUUGAGUUGCUUCACGCCUCAGUCUUAAGAGCUUUUUGAAAAGCCAAGUGCCAAGCAAAAGCUAAAAAAAACUCAGCUUCUUCCUCAUGUUACUUCACCGCCGCCGUUGAUCACCGUGUAAUCAAUCUAUACACAAACAAUUACGUCCUCUUUUCUUCCUCUGCUCACACUUCGCUUCAUCACCACGACGAAUCUCUCUCUGCAGUGAAGAAGACCUUCGAACGAAAACCGGACUAGACCUAAGGUUAUAACCAGUGUUGAUCUCUCAGUCUUCAAUAAGUGCGAAAAGCUGCCAAUGAGUAUAUGAGGAGCUUGACAUCGCAAUACUAGGCAGCUUUGAGCUUUUAGUCAGGACAGAGAGAAUGACGAAGAAUACUUUGAUGCUGAUGGGAACUUUGUAGAUUUUGUUAGAGACAAGGAAGUCAAGGAUGUUGUGCUGAGAAGCAUGAAGAUAGUGGGACCGUAAAGCCAUCAGGUGAACUUUCUCAAGAAGAUAUUGGAGUCAUAAAGAUGCGUAUUUCUAAACUCUUUGAACCUGUAGAAAAGGCGAGUCAUUUAGGGUCGUAACAGGUCCUUCUAGCUUUAAGGAGAUUGAAAGGGAGCUGGAAUAGGAUAAGAUGACAUUUGAGACAAAGCUUAUCAUUAGCUUUGCUAAAUCCAGAAUGGUGACUUCAGUUAAGUUUCAUAUUGAUUUUGCUAUAUCAAAAGCUUUGCUAAAAUGAAAAUGGUGCCCUGUUAUCAUUAGUUUUACUUUCCAUGUAUUCAAGAUAUUUAUCACGAAGAGCAAGAAUUUUUUCCAGCGCGAAGCUGGUUAGAGCUAUUAAUGCUUUCUAAAUCUCAUGAUAUUUCUUUACUCACAAAUCUAGGGAACAAUGGAUUUUGCUUCACUUUUUUUUUUCUCUACUGUGGUCUUGAUAGAUGAAUAUGCAGAGACAGCGAUGAAGAAAAUACUACUGGAGCUGAAGCCUUGCAAUCUGAUUAUGUAUUUGACAAAACUUCAGGUUUAUGACGACCGAUUACCACUGUCUGGUCGAUGCUCUCUUACAUUUGAACUUAAUUGUUUCAAAGGAAUUCUUCCACAGAGCUGUACAUUUCCCUACACAAAAUUUUGCUUGCACACGCUUCUGCGACAAACUUAUGCAAGAAAUCCCAGGUUCUUCUUCUCAUUCCGUCUUCCAUAUGCACUACUGUCUUUAGUUAAGACAGUAACUCCAUUUAAUUACACAGCACAAGCAACAGGGAUUGGUAGGCAUUAGCAUAUACAUAUACGAUGCUUUGACUGAUGUCCCCCUAACUAACUCCAGAAGUUAAGCAGGCAACAGCCAGAUUCAAUGACUUCUUUAUUGGAUGUUUGGGUCUUUUUGUAAGGGACUUACAGGUUUGGCGAGAAUCCUGAAACGAUGAAGACCAUAGUUGGGUCUAAGAUUACUCGCUUUUACAGAGGAUGAGUCGGAUCAAGAUAAAUUACAUGACACUUUACGUCUAGGAUAAGUCUUCUCUCUGAAACAAAAUCUCCAUGAUUUCAACAUAGACAUGGCUGUGGAACUGACCCCGUUUGGAAACACAUCUUCAAGAAUGAGUAUGCAAAUACACAAUGGAGUCAGUACUGUUGUAUACCAAAGAACACUACGGCAUAUUAAGUAUCUGAGGACACGACUAGAACUAAGUAUCUGAGCUCACACAUUGAAGCAUUGCUUCAAUCACUCAGGUAACUUCUACAGUAGAGCGUAGCGCAAGUUCUAUGAAAGUGUGAGACACUAAGAUUCAAUAUCCCAAAGAAAGAAA
Molecule: long non-coding RNA, 2678 nt
Organism: Brassica oleracea var. oleracea
Lineage: Eukaryota; Viridiplantae; Streptophyta; Magnoliopsida; Brassicales; Brassicaceae
Exons: 10
Source: RefSeq, a predicted model, not a curated record